Long non-coding RNA from Paramisgurnus dabryanus, 2215 nucleotides. RefSeq lists it as uncharacterized. The record is from RefSeq and is a predicted model, not a curated record. Lineage: Eukaryota; Metazoa; Chordata; Actinopteri; Cypriniformes; Cobitidae.
GAUGCUUCACUUGAAGAACAAAAACUUUUAUUGAUUGAUGAAACAAAAAAGGCAAGAAGCAACAUGGUGGUCAUACAUGAAAAAAUGGAAUUAACUUUUUCCCUGAGAAGAAAAGAAGUGGUAGAAGAUCAACCAAUGGUUGUAGACUUGCAGCAGAGGUGGCCUGCACUUUUUCUCCAGGAACAGAUUGCUGAGGAAUUCUUCAGAAUCCCGGAUAACGACCUUCUUGAUGUCUUCAGGGCAGCAAUGGACCGAUUUACAACAAAGCUCUUGAAAGUAUACAGAGCUCGAAAAGCUGCAUUUGGAGAGGAUAUGGAACAGCUCCUAGAAAGACUUGAUGAAAGGAUGACCGAUAUUGUUAAUCACAGAAGGACUACUGCUUUGAAAGGCCUGCCUUUGUUUCUUUGAGAGGACCCAAACAAGCUGUUCAAGACAUGCAAAGACAACGAAGAUGGGGCAAAAGGAGUGUCUAUUGCCAUUCUGUGUGUUUUGGAAGAUGAGACCCAGGGACCAUCACCAGAGGUUGUAAACAUUGCUGUUGUGUUGGAGCAGGUCGUCGUUUUGAAAGAUCUCCCAGAUAUUUCUACUGCUCUUGCAUACCUUUUUGGCCUUCUGUAUGCAUUAAACAUGUCCUAUCCUCAAGCUCUUAAGUACACUUUUGACACCAUUCAGAAUGUUUUCAUGGAGCUGGGAUCUGGAUGCACCAAACGUGUACUUUCUCUGAAGAACAAACUGUUGUAAAGAAAAUCAGAACCGUGUUUUUGGAUUCUUUUUGAUGUUCAUUUGUUUUAAGACCUAAAGUUCGCUUGGAUACAAGGUCUGGGGAUUCUUAGUUGGCAUCUCUAUUUCUUGUUACAGAUGUCAAACUGUUCCAAAUGCACCAAACGUGUGCUUUCUCUGAAGAACAAACUGUUGUAAAGAAAAUCAGAACAGUGUUUUGGGAUCCUUUUUGGGAUUCAUUUGUUAAUAGACCUAAAGUGCAGCUUGGAUACAACGUGAUUCUUUUAGGUGACAUCUAUUUUGCUUGUCAUAAGAUGCAUAAGACUGUUCUUAAAGAGUAACUAAACCCUAAACCAACUUUUUUUAGUUAAUGAUCUGUAAGAAUGAUGCUUAAUUAGUGCUGCUCAUUGAUUUUAGUAAGUUUUUUGACAUUUGGAUAUAAAGUGUUUCAAUACUGCAAUAUAUAGUGUAAAAACAUCUGAGUGCUGCCCUCUUCAGGUUGAACGGUGGCUACUGCAGUUGAAUUUUCCUAUUGGAUGUUGGGUUCAAAAAAUUACUCGUGACGUAAACAGAUUCAAGCUCACCACGCCCUGGUUACGAUCUCAACACACACUUGGUACGAGCUUUAGUUCGUCAUCUCUAUCUCCGUUGGGAUCUGCCCACUUUUCUUGCAUUUUUCAAAUAUUGCCAGUGGGUGGAGUCACGCUCUGACCGGGGUUUAGUUACCCUUUAAAGUGUAUAUAAUUGUAAUUUUGUAUUACAUCAUACCAUACCAGGUUAGUGGUUUCAGUAAGCAUGUCUGCUCUUAUAACUGGUUGUUUAAAAUUGAAAUUGUUAAAGGGAUAGUUUAUCCAAAAAUGAAAAUUGUCACAUUUUGUCACUCUUAUUUUUUUACAAAUGUCUUCAUUUUGAGGAACAGGAAGAAAGAUGCUUUGAGGAAUGUUUGUAACCAAACCGUUCAUGAGCCUCAUUCAUUUUCAUAGUAGGAAAAAAUAAUACUUUAGAAAUGAAUGGGGCUCAUGAUCUGUUUUUAGGGCUCAUGAUCUGUUUGGUUACAAACAUUCCUCAAAAUAUCUUAUGUUCAUCAAAUCAAAUACAUUUAUACAGGUUUGUAACAACAUGGGAGUAAGAAAAUGACACAAUUUUCAUUUUUGGGUGAACUAUCCUUUUAAAUAAAACUGUACAAGUGUUUUAAAUGUUGGUUUAAAUGGGGUAAUUUGAAAAGGUUUAGAUUACAGAACAUGUCAAGGCAUUAAAAACACUAUUGUUGGAUAAAAACAAAAAUCCUAAAUUGAUACAAGUUUUAUGCUGUUACAGUUAAGUGAUUGUCUGUAUGCUUCGUGUAUGCAAAAUUUAAGUUCCUACUGAAGAUGGAAUCUAGACUUUUUAAAGUGCAGCUGCUGUGUCACAACUUUAAAAAAAAGUUAAAUGUUGUGAAGAGUUUGGGGUUGUGUAGCAUCUUAUUUCUAAUUGAAAUAAAUUAUGCUAAAAAGAA